Molecule: ribosomal RNA, 252 nt
Filed under: uncultured bacterium
Lineage: Bacteria
Description: partial 16S ribosomal RNA
Rfam family: Bacterial small subunit ribosomal RNA
Source: RNAcentral
UACGGGGGGUGCGAGCGUUGUCCGGAUUCACUGGGCGUAAAGGGCGCGUAGGCGGCCUGGUCAGUCGGACCUUUAAGAGCGGGGCUCACCCCCGUGGUGGGUUCGGGACGGCCGGGCUGGGGCGCGGCAGAGGGGGACGGAAUGCCGGGUGUAGUGGUGAAAUGCGUAGAGAUCCGGCGGAACACCGGUGGUGAAGACGGUCCCCUGGGCCGAGGCAGACGCUGAGGCGCGAGAGCGCGGGGAGCGAACCGG